GAGACGCUGGCGGCGUGCUUAAUACAUGCAAGUCGAGCGAGGCCUUGGAAUUGGAGUCCUUCGGGAUGAAGAGUCCUUGGCCUAGCGGCGGACGGGUGAGUAACGCGUGGGCAACCUACCCCAAAGUCCGGGAUAACAGUGGGAAACCGCUGCUAAUACCGGAUGACUUUACCUGAGGGCAUCCUUGGGUAAAGAAAGGUUACGCUUUGGGAUGGGCCCGCGUCCCAUUAGCUAGUUGGUGAGGUAACGGCUCACCAAGGCGACGAUGGGUAGCCGGCCUGAGAGGGUGAACGGCCACACUGGGACUGAGACACGGCCCAGACUCCUACGGGAGGCAGCAGUAGGGAAUAUUGCGCAAUGGGCGGAAGCCUGACGCAGCGACGCCGCGUGAGCGAAGAAGGCCUUCGGGUCCGUAAACGCUCUCGUCCUUGGGGAAGAAGGCGGAAAGCGUUGUACGGUACCCAACGAAGGAAAGCCCCGGCUAACUACGUG
This 492-nucleotide ribosomal RNA is filed under the name uncultured bacterium. RNAcentral's name for it is "bacterial SSU rRNA". It matches the Rfam family "Bacterial small subunit ribosomal RNA", at positions 33 to 507 of the family's 1533-position model. The record is from RNAcentral.